RNAcentral lists this ribosomal RNA (486 nucleotides) under uncultured bacterium. RNAcentral's name for it is "bacterial SSU rRNA". It matches the Rfam family "Bacterial small subunit ribosomal RNA", at positions 37 to 507 of the family's 1533-position model. The record is from RNAcentral.
AUUGAACGUGGCGGCAUGCUUUUACCAUGCAAGUCGAACGGCAGCACGGGUGCUUUGCACCUGGUGGCGAGUGGCGAACGGGUGAGUUAAUGCAUCGGAACGUGCCUAUUAGUGGGGGAUAACGCUUCGAAAGGAGUGCUAAUACCGCAUAAUCUCUGAGGAGGAAAGCGGGGGACCUUAGGGCCUCGCGCUGAUAGAGCGGCCGAUGUCGGAUUAGCUAGUUGGUGAGGUAAAGGCUCACCAAGGCGACGAUCCGUAGCGGGUCUGAGAGGAUGAUCCGCCACACUGGGACUGAGACAGGCCCAGACUCCUACGGGAGGCAGCAGUGGGGAAUUUUGGACAAUGGGCGCAAGCCUGAUCCAGCCAUGCCGCGUGAGUGAAGAAGGCCUUCGGGUUGUAAAGCUCUUUUGUCCGGGAGCAAGUCCUACUGGCUAAUAUCUGGUGGGGAUGAGAGUACUGGAAGAAUAAGCACCGGCUAACUACGUG